GACUGGUCUGAAGUUAGUGAGUCAUUUUCAGUCAAUGUGCACAGUCUGUUACAGGUUAACUUGAACUCCUGUUCUACACUGUCCCUCUCCUCAGUGCUACACUUGACUCGUCUCAA
The sequence is an unclassified non-coding RNA, 116 nucleotides long. It matches the Rfam family "Y RNA". From Rfam's summary of the family: Y RNAs are components of the Ro ribonucleoprotein particle (Ro RNP), in association with Ro60 and La proteins. The Y RNAs and Ro60 and La proteins are well conserved, but the function of the Ro RNP is not known. The record is from Ensembl.